Molecule: ribosomal RNA, 245 nt
Filed under: uncultured bacterium
Lineage: Bacteria
Description: partial 16S ribosomal RNA
Rfam family: Bacterial small subunit ribosomal RNA
Source: RNAcentral
UACGGGGGGUGCAAGCGUUGUUCGGAAUCAUUGGGCGUAAAGGGCGUGUAGGCGGCUGGAUAAGUCAGAUGUGAAAGCCCCGGGCUUAACCCGGGAAGUGCAUUUGAAACUGUCCGGCUUGAGUAGGGGAGAGGAAAGUGGAAUUCCUGGUGUAGAGGUGAAAUUCGUAGAUAUCAGGAGGAACACCGGUGGCGAAGGCGACUUUCUGGCCCUAUACUGACGCUGAGACGCGAAAGCGUGGGGAG